UCGGGAAUUUUGGGCAAUGGGGGAAACCCUGACCCAGCAACGCCGCGUGAGUGAUGAAGUAUUUCGGUAUGUAAACUUCGAAAGAAUAGGAAGAAUAAAUGACGGUACUAUUUAUAAGGUCCGGCUAACUACGUGCCAGCAGCCGCGGUAAUACGUAGGGACCAAGCGUUGUUCGGAUUUACUGGGCGUAAAGGGCGCGUAGGCGGCAUGACAAGUCACUUGUGAAAUCUCUGGGCUUAACCCAGAACGGCCAAGUGAUACUGUCGCGCUAGAGUGCAGAAGGGGCAAUCGGAAUUCUUGGUGUAGCGGUGAAAUGCGUAGAUAUCAAGAGGAACACCUGAGGUGAAGACGGGUUGCUGGGCUGACACUGACGCUGAGGCGCGAAAGCCAGGGGAGCAAACGGGAUUAGAUACCCACGUAGUCCCUGAGCGGGCUGGCAAGGCGCAU
RNAcentral lists this ribosomal RNA (447 nucleotides) under uncultured bacterium. Its description in RNAcentral is "bacterial SSU rRNA". It matches the Rfam family "Bacterial small subunit ribosomal RNA", at positions 355 to 825 of the family's 1533-position model. The record is from RNAcentral.